CCUGGCUAGGACGAACGCUGGCGGCGUGCCUAACACAUGCAAGUCGAACGGACGAGGGGAGCUUGCUCCCCAAGUUAGUGGCGGACGGGUGAGUAACACGUGAGCAACCUGCCCUUCGGAGGGGGACAACAGCUGGAAACGGCUGCUAAUACCGCAUGAUACAGCGGGGAGGCAUCUCCCUGCUGUCAAAGAUUUAUCGCCGAAGGAUGGGCUCGCGUCUGAUUAGAUAGUUGGCGGGGUAACGGCCCACCAAGUCGACGAUCAGUAGCCGGACUGAGAGGUUGAACGGCCACAUUGGGACUGAGAUACGGCCCAGACUCCUACGGGAGGCAGCAGUGGGGAAUAUUGGGCAAUGGGGGGCAACCCUGACCCAGCAACGCCGCGUGAAGGAAGAAGGCUUUCGGGUUGUAAACUUCUUUGACGAGGGACGAUAGUGACGGUACCUCGAAAACAAGCCACGGCUAACUACGUGCCAGCAGCGGC
Molecule: ribosomal RNA, 483 nt
Filed under: uncultured bacterium
Lineage: Bacteria
Description: bacterial SSU rRNA
Rfam family: Bacterial small subunit ribosomal RNA
Source: RNAcentral